RNAcentral lists this ribosomal RNA (301 nucleotides) under uncultured bacterium. Its description in RNAcentral is "partial 16S ribosomal RNA". It matches the Rfam family "Bacterial small subunit ribosomal RNA", at positions 509 to 807 of the family's 1533-position model. The record is from RNAcentral.
CAGCCGCCACGGUAAUACGAAGGGGGCUAGCGUUGUUCGGAUUAACUGGGCGUAAAGGGCACGUAGGCGGGUUUUUAAGUCAGAGGUGUAAUCCCAAGGCUCAACCUUGGAACUGCCUUUGAUACUGGAAGUCUUGAGUCCGGGAGAGGUGAGUGGAACUGCGAGUGUAGAGGUGAAAUUCGUAGAUAUUCGCAAGAACACCAGUGGCGAAGGCGGCUCACUGGCCCGGUACUGACGCUGAGGCGCGAAAGCGUGGGGAGCAAACAGGAUUAGAUACCCGUGUAGUCCCUGUCUCUUAUAC